This 37-nucleotide small RNA is filed under the name Arabidopsis thaliana (thale cress). Its description in RNAcentral is "ATSL132220". The record is from RNAcentral. Lineage: Eukaryota; Viridiplantae; Streptophyta; Magnoliopsida; Brassicales; Brassicaceae.
AAGAGAAGUUAUGAAUAAACAAGAUGUUAUGAAACUU